RNAcentral lists this ribosomal RNA (1498 nucleotides) under uncultured Campylobacterota bacterium. RNAcentral's name for it is "uncultured Epsilonproteobacteria bacterium partial 16S ribosomal RNA". It matches the Rfam family "Bacterial small subunit ribosomal RNA". Lineage: Bacteria; Pseudomonadati; Campylobacterota. The record is from RNAcentral.
UUAGAGUUUGAUCAUGGCUCAGGAUGAACGCUAGCGGCAGGCUUAACACAUGCAAGUCGAGGGGCAGCGGGGUAGCAAUACUGCCGGCGACCGGCGCACGGGUGCGUAACGCGUAUGCAACCUACCUAUUACAGGGGGAUAGCCCAGAGAAAUUUGGAUUAACACCCCAUAAUAUAUUUAAGAGGCAUCUUUUGAAUAUUAAAACUCCGGUGGUAAUGGAUGGGCAUGCGUGACAUUAGCUAGUUGGUAAGGUAACGGCUUACCAAGGCAACGAUGUCUAGGGGUUCUAAAAGGAAGAUCCCCCACACUGGUACUGAGACACGGACCAGACUCCUACGGGAGGCAGCAGUGAGGAAUAUUGGUCAAUGGGCGCAAGCCUGAACCAGCCAUGCCGCGUGCAGGAAGAAGGUUCUAUGGAUUGUAAACUGCUUUUAUUUGGGAAUAAACCUAAGUACGCGUAUUUAGCUGAAUGUACCAAAUGAAUAAGCACCGGCUAACUCCGUGCCAGCAGCCGCGGUAAUACGGGGGGUGCAAGCGUUACUCGGAAUCACUGGGCGUAAAGGGAGCGUAGGCGUUCUAUUAAGUCUUGAGUGAAAGCCCACAGCCUAACUGUGGAACUGCUUGGGAAACUGAUAGAAUUGAGUAUGGAAGAGGUCAGUGGAAUUUCCGGUGUAGGGGUAAAAUCCGUAGAUAUCGGAAGGAAUACCAGAAGCGAAGGCGACUGACUGGGACAUUACUGACGCUGAGGCUCGAAAGCGUGGGGAGCAAACAGGAUUAGAUACCCUGGUAGUCCACGCCCUAAACGAUGAACACUAGUCGUUACGGAGCUAGUCUCUGUAGUGACGCAGCUAACGCAUUAAGUGUUCCGCCUGGGGAGUACGGUCGCAAGAUUAAAACUCAAAGGAAUAGACGGGGGCCCGCACAAGCGGAGGAACAUGUGGUUUAAUUCGAUGAUACGCGAGGAACCUUACCCGGGCUUAAAUGCAGAGCGAUCGGUGUCGAAAGAUGCUUUCCCUUCGGGGCGAAUUGCAAGGUGCUGCAUGGCUGUCGUCAGCUCGUGCCGUGAGGUGUCGGGUUAAGUCCCAUAACGAGCGCAACCCCUAUUGUUAGUUGCCAGCGGGUGAUGCCGGGAACUCUAACGAGACUGCCACCGUAAGGUGUGAGGAAGGUGGGGAUGGCGUCAAGUCAGCACGGCCCUUAUGUCCGGGGCUACACACGUGUUACAAUGGCAGGUACAAAGAGCAGCCACUCGGUGACGAGGCGCUAAUCUCGAAAAACCUGUCUUAGUUCGGAUCGAAGUCUGCAACUCGACUUCGUGAAGUUGGAUUCGCUAGUAAUCGUAUAUCAGCAAUGAUACGGUGAAUACGUUCCCGGGCCUUGUACACACCGCCCGUCAAGCCAUGGAAGCUGAGGGUACCUGAAGUCUGUAACCGCAAGGAACGGCCUAGGGUAAAAUCGGUAACUGGGGCUAAGUCGUAACAAGGUAGCCAAGGGCGAA